RNAcentral lists this long non-coding RNA (461 nucleotides) under Brachypodium distachyon (stiff brome). Its description in RNAcentral is "long non-coding RNA (BDIS_LNC005235)". The record is from RNAcentral. Lineage: Eukaryota; Viridiplantae; Streptophyta; Magnoliopsida; Poales; Poaceae.
GAAAGGUUGUUGCCUUGGUGUGAUUAUCUCCAGUCAUCAAAGAAUAUCUGACAGUGAUGACCAGAAUACCCGCAGGCGAAACACAGCGACCGUGUCAGGUGCGGCGACACCUAGCUUCCUUGUAUGCUAGGUUCUUGUCGAACAAACUGGCCCUUCACCCGGGGCCGCUGCUCUGCAAGUAAUUUUCUGCUCUGGUACCGCACCUGGGCAACAAUGUAAGAAUGUAAACACCAGCUCCUAGUAGGGCGAAACACAGCGACCGUGUCAGGUGCGGCGACACCUAGCUUCCUUGUAUGCUAGGUUCUUGUCGAACAAACUGGCCCUUCACCCGGGGCCGCUGCUCUGCAAGUAAUUUUCUGCUCUGGUACCGCACCUGGGCAACAAUGUAAGAAUGUAAACACCAGCUCCUAGUAGGUGAGAUACAGCGAAUUGGAUUGAGAUGACAAGAUUAUUUAUUAUGC